Molecule: ribosomal RNA, 422 nt
Filed under: uncultured bacterium
Lineage: Bacteria
Description: bacterial SSU rRNA
Rfam family: Bacterial small subunit ribosomal RNA
Source: RNAcentral
UGAGGAAUAUUGGGCAAUGCCCGCAAGGGUGACCCAGCAACGCCGCGUGGAGGAUGAAUGUCGUAAGAUUGUAAACUCCUGUUAGAGGGGAAGAAUAGUACCGGUUGGACCGGUAUAUGACUGUACCCUCAGAGAAAGCCCCGGCUAACUACGUGCCAGCAGCCGCGGUAAUACGUAGGGGGCAAGCGUUGUCCAGAUUUACUGGGUGUAAAGGGCGCGCAGGCGGGAUAAAAAGUCAGUGGUGAAAUCCUACAGCUUAACUGUAGAACUGCCUGUGAUACUUUUAUUCUUGAGUUCGGGAGAGAGAGACGGAAUUCCAGGUGUAGUGGUAAAAUACGUAGAUAUCUGGAAGAACACCAGUUGCGAAGGCGGUCUCUUGGUCCGACACUGACGCUGAGGCGCGAAAGCGUGGGGAGCAAACA